Molecule: non-coding RNA, 181 nt
Filed under: Candidatus Omnitrophota bacterium
Lineage: Bacteria; Pseudomonadati; Candidatus Omnitrophota
Description: Candidatus Omnitrophica bacterium 6S RNA
Rfam family: 6S / SsrS RNA
About the family: E. coli 6S RNA was the first non coding RNA to be sequenced, but its function was unknown until recently.
Source: RNAcentral
AACGGCCUGCUCCGUGCGUGAAGAUAAAAAUACCCUUGAGCCAACACUAUAAGCAAGGGAGCCAAGUCCUGAUGGGGCCGACAGGUUCGCCUUGAGCGAAAAGCCGAAGCCAUCAGGGGCGGUGCCCAAAUUACCUUGAGGGUCUCAAAGGGUACAAUCCUUGCGGCGGGGCGGGCUCUUA